Molecule: ribosomal RNA, 484 nt
Filed under: uncultured bacterium
Lineage: Bacteria
Description: bacterial SSU rRNA
Rfam family: Bacterial small subunit ribosomal RNA
Source: RNAcentral
GACGAACGCUGGCGGCGUGCCUAACACAUGCAAGUCGAACGAAGCAUAGCAAUAUGCUUAGUGGCGGACGGGUGAGUAACGCGUGAACAAUCUGCCCUGUACAAAGGAAUAGCCUCGGGAAACCGGGAUUAAAACCGUAUGACACUUUAGUAUCGCAUGAUAAGAAAGUCAAAUCGAAUAGAGGUAUGGGAUGAGUUCGCGUCUGAUUAGCUGGUUGGCGGGGUAACGCCCACCAAGGCGACGAUCAGUAGCCGGCCUGAGAGGGUGAACGGCCACACUGGGAUUGAGAUACGGCCCAGACUCCUACGGGAGGCAGCAGUCGAGAAUAGUCUACAAUGGUCGGAAGACUGAUAGUGCGACGCCGCGUGAACGAUGAAUCCCUUCGGGGUGUAAAGUUUCUUUUAUAUGUGAGCAGUGCUUCUUAUAUUAACAGUAUGGGGAAGCGAUAUUAGCAUAUGAAUAAGCAACGGCUAACUCCGUGCCC